RNAcentral lists this unclassified non-coding RNA (193 nucleotides) under uncultured fungus. Its description in RNAcentral is "sequence contains ITS2". The record is from RNAcentral. Lineage: Eukaryota; Fungi.
CACACCCUCCGCUCCCUCUUUGCUGAGGACGAGUGGGUCCUGAGCGGGAAGAGCCCCCAGCGGGUUCACUCCCCCUCUAAAGUGGAAUGACAGCGGUCCGCCUGCCCGUGAAAGACGUAGUAAGAUUGCACAUAUCAGAAUCGUCCUCGAAGGGGAAAGGUAGAGGCCUGCCUCGAAACUCAUACAUCUGAAG